Molecule: ribosomal RNA, 443 nt
Filed under: uncultured bacterium
Lineage: Bacteria
Description: bacterial SSU rRNA
Rfam family: Bacterial small subunit ribosomal RNA
Source: RNAcentral
AGCGAACGCUGGCGGCAGGCCUAACACAUGCAAGUCGAGCGGCCGUAGCAAUACGGCAGCGGCAGACGGGAUAGUAACACGUGGGAACGCGCCCUUCGGUUCGGAAUAACUCAGGGAAACUUGAGCUAAUACCGGAUACGCCUACGGGAAGAUUAUUGCGAAGGAACGGCCCGCGUCCGAUUAGCUAGUUGGUGAGGUAAUGGCUCACCAAGGCAACGAUCGGUAGCUGGCUGAGAGGAUGACCAGCAUCACUGGGACUGAGACACGGCCCAGACUCCUACGGGAGGCAGCAGUGGGGAUAUUGGACAAUGGGCGCAAGCCUGAUCCAGCCAUGCCGCGUGGAUGAUGAAGGCCUUAGGGUUGUAAAGUCCUUUUAACGGGGAAGAUAAUGACGGUACCCGUAGAAUAAGCCCCGCUAACUUCGUGCCAGCAGCCGCCGUAAG